UAAUUUAUUGUAUUGCCGUUGUGGUGUAUCCCCCUAUGCGGCGGGGCAAAACAGCAACUUUGUCAGGAUACUUUGUCCUUGAUGAGCGUAGCAAAUGCGAGUCAUGGUGGCUGACCAAAGACUCACCGGGAGGCACCCGGCACCACAAUAACUUCAUGCAUAAUCAAAGGCUCGCUUCGGCGGGCCUUUGCUAU
RNAcentral lists this small RNA (194 nucleotides) under uncultured Kluyvera sp. RNAcentral's name for it is "Gammaproteobacterial sRNA STnc100". It matches the Rfam family "Gammaproteobacterial sRNA STnc100". The record is from RNAcentral. Lineage: Bacteria; Pseudomonadati; Pseudomonadota; Gammaproteobacteria; Enterobacterales; Enterobacteriaceae.